CCCCCAGGCCUAGGGCAGGAUCGGAGCAAAGCUCUGGAAGGCUCUGUCCUGGGCUCUUCAUCUGGCCACUUCUUUGUCCCCACUUCUCUACCUGCCUGCCCCUGUACCUGCUCCAGAGACUGUGUGCUUCCCGUCCCAAGCAGGGAAUCCGAAGCGCUUCCUCUUUUCCUGCCCUUACCUCCCUGUGCUUGAAGAGACACUGAGCGGGAGGACUAAUUCCAACAGUUGCAAGGGCCAGGAUGUGUCUGCUCUUUGCAGUGGGGCUGGGGGUCCCUGUGGUUCCUCAGUUAGACUUCUGUUCCAGAUGUAUGGCUUACUUCGAAGCAAUUCAGCCCUUGUAUUCCUCACUCCUCCCUGGACGACAAGAUCUGCUUGCCCCUCACACCUCAGCUUCUGCCAUUUCUGGAGCCCAACUAUGUGCCAAAUACCAUUAGUUGCAUUAUCUCGAUCCAUAGAACAGCCCAAUGAAAUAGGUUUUCAUUUCCCUGUUACUGAUGAGGAAACUAAGGCUCUGAGAGGUUGGGUAACACAGCCUGGAAGACUGUCCCAGAGCUGCUAUGAGGAUUAGAUAAUACUUGUAGUUACUUCCCCUGAGCUCAGCACACACAAUGACCUCUUGGAAUGGAGUUCACUGUUAUUGGUAUUAUCAUAAAGUGAUGGAGCUGGGAGUGGCCCUCGCUCUGCCUGCCUCCAGAGCUGGCACCCACCACUGACUCGGAGUGGGUCUGUUCUUGAGAAGCCUGGGAUGGGUGGGGGAUGCAGGCGAGGGCCGAGUUGCUGGAUGUGGGCAGUCAUUUGGGUGACCCCUAAUCCCCUUGGCACAGCGAGUAUCAACCAGGGUGGCAGGCAUUGCCUCACAUUCACAGUGGCUAACAUUUCAACACCAUCCCCACUACCCUCCGAGGCUUUUUAUAUUUUGUUUACCUUUUACUAAUUUUAUAUGCUAAAGAGUUUAAAGAUUUCCACCC
Pipistrellus kuhlii (Kuhl's pipistrelle) is the source of this 968-nucleotide long non-coding RNA. RefSeq lists it as uncharacterized. Lineage: Eukaryota; Metazoa; Chordata; Mammalia; Chiroptera; Vespertilionidae. The record is from RefSeq and is a predicted model, not a curated record. The transcript is spliced from 2 exons.